Molecule: ribosomal RNA, 807 nt
Filed under: uncultured Acidobacterium sp.
Lineage: Bacteria; Pseudomonadati; Acidobacteriota; Terriglobia; Terriglobales; Acidobacteriaceae
Description: bacterial SSU rRNA
Rfam family: Bacterial small subunit ribosomal RNA
Source: RNAcentral
AAUCAACGCUGGCGGCGCGCUUAACACAUGCAAGUCGAGCGAGAAAGGGAGCAAUCCUGAGUAAAGCGGCGUACGGGUGAGUAACACGUGGAUCAUAUACCUUUUAGUGGGGAAUACCCUUGGGAAACCGAGGACAAUACCGCAUAAUCCCGGGAGGGGAAAGCAGCAAUGCGCUGAAAGAGUAGUCCGCGGCUGAUUAGCUAGUUGGUAGGGUAAAGGCCUACCAAGGCUGUGAUCGGUAGCCGGCCUGAGAGGGCACACGGCCACACUGGCACUGAAACACGGGCCAGACUCCUACGGGAGGCAGCAGUGGGGAAUCUUGCACAAUGGACGAAAGUCUGAUGCAGCGACGCCGCGUGAGCGAUGAAGCCCUUCGGGGUGUAAAGCUCUUUCGACAGGAACGAUAAUGACGGUACCUGGAGAAGAAGCUGCGGCUAACUACGUGCCAGCAGCCGCGGUAAUACGUAGGCAGCAAGCGUUGUUCGGAAUUACUGGGCGUAAAGCGUGCGUAGGCGGUGGCUCAAGUUUGGUGUGAAAUCUCCCGGCUCAACUGGGAGGGUGCGCCGAAAACUGAGUUGCUCGAGUGUGGGAGAGGUAGGCGGAAUUCCUGGUGUAGCGGUGAAAUGCGUAGAUAUCAGGAGGAACACCGGCGGUGUAGACGGCUUACUGGACCAUAACUGACGCUGAGGCACGAAAGUGUGGGGAGCAAACAGGAUUAGAUACCCUGGUAGUCCACACCCUAAACGAUGCAUACUUGGUGUGAGCCAUUCAUUUGGUUCGUGCCGGAGCUAACGCGUUAAGUAUGAC